GCUCCUUCGACGUUAGCGGCGGACGGGUGAGUAACACGUGGGCAACCUACCUUAUAGUUUGGGAUAACUCCGGGAAACCGGGGCUAAUACCGAAUAAUCUGUUUCACCUCAUGGUGAAACACUGAAAGACGGUUUCGGCUGUCGCUAUAGGAUGGGCCCGCGGCGCAUUAUCUAGUUGGUGAGGUAACGGCUCACCAAGGCGACGAUGCGUAGCCGACCUGAGAGGGUGAUCGGCCACACUGGGACUGAGACACGGCCCAGACUCCUACGGGAGGCAGCAAUAGGGAAUCUUCCACAAUGGGCGAAAGCCUGAUGGAGCAACGCCGCGUGAGUGAAGAAGGAUUUCGGUUCGUAAAACUCUGUUGUAAGGGAAGAACAAGUACAGUAGUAACUGGCUGUACCUUGACGGUACCUUAUUAGAAAGCCACGGCUAACUACGUGCCAGCAGCCGCGGUAAUACGUAGGUGGCAAGCGUUGUCCGGAAUUAUUGGGCGUAAAGCGCGCGCAGGUGGUUUCUUAAGUCUGAUGUGAAAGCCCACGGCUCAACCGUGGAGGGUCAUUGGAAACUGGGAGACUUGAGUGCAGAAGAGGAUAGUGGAAUUCCAAGUGUAGCGGUGAAAUGCGUAUAGAUUUGGAGGAACACCAAUGGCGAAGGCGACUAUCUGGUCUGUAACUGACACUGAGGCGCGAAAGCGUGAGGAGCAAACAGGAUUAGAUACCCUGGUAGUCCACGCCGUAGACGAUGAGUGCUAAGUGUUAGGGGGUUUCCGCCCCUUAGUGCUGCAGCUAACGCAUUAAGCACUCCGCCUGGGGAGUACGGUCGCAAGACUGAGACUCAGAGGAAUUGACGGGCGCCCGCACAAGCGGUGGAGCAUGUGGUUUAAUUCGAAGCAACGCGAAGAACCUUACCAGGUCUUGACAUCCCGUUGACCACUGUAGAGAUAUGGUUUCCCCUUCGGAGGCAACGGUGACAGGUGGUGCAUGGUUGUCGUCACCUCGU
RNAcentral lists this ribosomal RNA (1000 nucleotides) under Lysinibacillus fusiformis. RNAcentral's name for it is "bacterial SSU rRNA". It matches the Rfam family "Bacterial small subunit ribosomal RNA", at positions 80 to 1063 of the family's 1533-position model. The record is from RNAcentral. Lineage: Bacteria; Bacillati; Bacillota; Bacilli; Caryophanales; Bacillaceae.